RNAcentral lists this ribosomal RNA (492 nucleotides) under uncultured bacterium. RNAcentral's name for it is "partial 16S ribosomal RNA". It matches the Rfam family "Bacterial small subunit ribosomal RNA", at positions 30 to 507 of the family's 1533-position model. The record is from RNAcentral.
AUUGAACGCUGGCGGCAUGCUUUACACAUGCAAGUCGAACGGUAACAGGCCUUCGGGUGCUGACGAGUGGCGAACGGGUGAGUAAUGCAUCGGAACGUACCCAGAGGUGGGGGAUAACGCAGCGAAAGCUGUGCUAAUACCGCAUGUGAUCUGAGGAUGAAAGCGGGGGACCGAGCAGCAAUGUUUGGCCUCGCGCCUUUGGAGCGGCCGAUGUCGGAUUAGCUAGUUGGUGGGGUAAAGGCCUACCAAGGCGACGAUCCGUAGCUGGUCUGAGAGGACGACCAGCCACACUGGGACUGAGACACGGCCCAGACUCCUACGGGAGGCAGCAGUGGGGAAUUUUGGACAAUGGGCGCAAGCCUGAUCCAGCAAUGCCGCGUGUGGGAAGAAGGCCUUCGGGUUGUAAACCGCUUUUGGCAGGAACGAAACGGUGUCCGCUAAUACCGGGCGCUAAUGACGGUACCUGCAGAAUAAGCACCGGCUAACUACGUG